This 380-nucleotide ribosomal RNA is filed under the name uncultured archaeon. RNAcentral's name for it is "bacterial SSU rRNA". It matches the Rfam family "Archaeal small subunit ribosomal RNA", at positions 471 to 851 of the family's 1478-position model. The record is from RNAcentral.
UAAUACCAGCUCCCCGAGUGGUAGGGACGAUUAUUGGGCUUAAAGCGUCCGUAGCUGGCUUGACAAGUCUUUCGUUAAAUCCAGCGACCUAAUCGUUGGGCUGCGGGAGAUACUAUCUAGCUUGGGGGCGGAAGAGGUCGACGGUACUCUCGGGGUAGGGGUGAAAUCCUAUAAUCCUGAGAAGACCACCAGUGGCGAAGGCGGUCGGCUAGAACGCGCUCGACGGUGAUGGACGAAAGCUGGGGUAGCAAACCGGAUUAGAUACCCGGGUAGUCCCAGCCGUAAACGAUGCGGGCUAGGUGUCGGAGUGGAUACGAGCCGCUUCCGUGCCGCAGGGAAACUGUUAAGCCCGCCGCCUGGGAAGUACGGUCGCAAGGCUG